CUAGGAUGAACGCUAGCUACAGGCUUAACACAUGCAAGUCAGGGGCAGCAUGGCUUAGCUUGCUAAGACUGAUGGCGACCGGCGCACGGGUGAGUAACGCGUAUCCAACCUGGCCCGCAGUAGGGAACAGCCCGGCGAAAGUCGGAUUAAUGCCCUAUGUCUUCCUUUGCAGGCAUCCAAUGAGGAAGAAAGAUUUAUCGCUGCGGGAUGGGGAUGCGUCUGAUUAGCUUGUCGGCGGGGUAACGGCCCACCGAGGCGACGAUCAGUAGGGGUUCUGAGAGGAAGGUCCCCCACACUGGUACUGAGACACGGACCAGACUCCUACGGGAGGCAGCAGUGAGGAAUAUUGGUCAAUGGGCGAGAGCCUGAACCAGCCAAGUAGCGUGCAGGGAACCGACUGCCCUAUGGGUUGUAAAACUGCUUUUAUGCGGGGAUAAACUUCAGCACGUGUGCUGUUUUGCAGGUACCGCAUGAAUAAGGACCGGCUAAUUCCGUGCCAGCCGCCGC
RNAcentral lists this ribosomal RNA (507 nucleotides) under uncultured bacterium. RNAcentral describes it as "bacterial SSU rRNA". It matches the Rfam family "Bacterial small subunit ribosomal RNA", at positions 26 to 518 of the family's 1533-position model. The record is from RNAcentral.